UCCCUAGUAGCUCAGACAGUAGAGCAUCUGCCUGCAAUGCAGAAGACCAGAGUUCAAUCCCUGGGUCGGGAA
RNAcentral lists this transfer RNA (72 nucleotides) under Bos taurus (domestic cattle). It matches the Rfam family "tRNA". From Rfam's summary of the family: Transfer RNA (tRNA) molecules are approximately 80 nucleotides in length. RNAcentral also lists the same sequence under 4 other names. The record is from Rfam by way of RNAcentral. Lineage: Eukaryota; Metazoa; Chordata; Mammalia; Artiodactyla; Bovidae.